RNAcentral lists this ribosomal RNA (497 nucleotides) under uncultured bacterium. Its description in RNAcentral is "bacterial SSU rRNA". It matches the Rfam family "Bacterial small subunit ribosomal RNA", at positions 791 to 1289 of the family's 1533-position model. The record is from RNAcentral.
UAGUCCACGCCGUAAACGAUGUCAACUAGCUGUCUGUUUCCUUGAGAAGUGGGUAGCGUAGCUAACGCACUAAGUUGACCGCCUGGGGAGUACGGCCGCAAGGUUAAAACUCAAAUGAAUUGACGGGGGCCCGCACAAGCGGUGGAGCAUGUGGUUUAAUUCGAUGCAACGCGAAGAACCUUACCAUCCCUUGACAUCCACAGAAGCUGAAAGAGAUUUUAGUGUGCCUUCGGGAGCUGUGAGACAGGUGCUGCAUGGCUGUCGUCAGCUCGUGUUGUGAAAUGUUGGGUUAAGUCCCGCAACGAGCGCAACCCCUAUCCUUAUUUGCCAUCAUUAAGUUGGGCACUUUAAAGAGACUGCCGGUGACAAACCGGAGGAAGGUAAGGAUGACGUCAAGUCAGCAUGCCCCUUAUGCUCUGGGCUACACACGUGCUACAAUGGCCGUGACAAAGAGUUGCUACUUUGUGAAAACAAGCUAAUCUCAUAAACGCGGCCUC